RNAcentral lists this ribosomal RNA (733 nucleotides) under Cercospora samambaiae. Its description in RNAcentral is "eukaryotic LSU rRNA". It matches the Rfam family "Eukaryotic large subunit ribosomal RNA", at positions 77 to 839 of the family's 3401-position model. The record is from RNAcentral. Lineage: Eukaryota; Fungi; Ascomycota; Dothideomycetes; Mycosphaerellales; Mycosphaerellaceae.
GCCCUAGUAACGGCGAGUGAAGCGGCAACAGCUCAAAUUUGAAAUCUGGCGCAAGCCCGAGUUGUAAUUUGUAGAGGAUGCUUCUGGGUAGCGACCGAUCUAAGUUCCUUGGAACAGGACGUCAUAGAGGGUGAGAAUCCCGUAUGUGACCGGCCCGCACCCUUUACGUAGCUCCUUCGACGAGUCGAGUUGUUUGGGAAUGCAGCUCUAAAUGGGAGGUAAAUUUCUUCUAAAGCUAAAUACCGGCCAGAGACCGAUAGCGCACAAGUAGAGUGAUCGAAAGAUGAAAAGUACUUUGGAAAGAGAGUUAAAAAGCACGUGAAAUUGUUGAAAGGGAAGCGCCUGCAACCAGACUUCGCGGCAGUGUUCCGCCGGUCUUCUGACCGGUUCAUUCUCUGUCGCGAGGCCAUCAUCGUCUGGGCCCGCCGGAUAAGACCUGAGGAAUGUGGCUCCCCCUCGGGGGAGUGUUAUAGCCUCUGGUGAUGCGGCGUGGCUCGGGCGAGGUCCGCGCUUCGGCAAGGAUGAUGGCGUAAUGGUUGUCGGCGGCCCGUCUUGAAACACGGACCAAGGAGUCUAACAUCUAUGCGAGUGUUCGGGUGUCAAACCCCUACGCGUAAUGAAAGUGAACGGAGGUGGGAACCGCAAGGUGCACCAUCGACCGAUCCUGAUGUCCUCGGAUGGAUUUGAGUAAGAGCAUAGCUGUUGGGACCCGAAAGAUGGUGAACUAUGCCUG